This 86-nucleotide transfer RNA is filed under the name Gammaproteobacteria bacterium. RNAcentral's name for it is "tRNA-Leu". It matches the Rfam family "tRNA". From Rfam's summary of the family: Transfer RNA (tRNA) molecules are approximately 80 nucleotides in length. Their secondary structure includes four short double-helical elements and three loops (D, anti-codon, and T loops). Lineage: Bacteria; Pseudomonadati; Pseudomonadota; Gammaproteobacteria. The record is from RNAcentral.
GCCCAGGUGAUGAAAUUGGUAGACAUGCUAGAUUUAGGUUCUAGUGCCUUAGCGGCGUGAGAGUUCGAGUCUCUCCCUGGGCACCA